Molecule: ribosomal RNA, 492 nt
Filed under: uncultured bacterium
Lineage: Bacteria
Description: partial 16S ribosomal RNA
Rfam family: Bacterial small subunit ribosomal RNA
Source: RNAcentral
AGUGAACGCUGGCGGUAGGCCUAACACAUGCAAGUCGAACGGCAGCACAGUAAGAGCUUGCUCUUACGGGUGGCGAGUGGCGGACGGGUGAGGAAUACAUCGGAAUCUACUUUUUCGUGGGGGAUAACGUAGCUAAACUUACGCUAAUACCGCAUACGACCUACGGGUGAAAGCAGGGGAUCUUCGGACCUUGCGCGAUUGAAUGAGCCGAUGUCGGAUUAGCUAGUUGGCGGGGUAAAGGCCCACCAAGGCGACGAUCCGUAGCUGGUCUGAGAGGAUGAUCAGCCACACUGGAACUGAGACACGGUCCAGACUCCUACGGGAGGCAGAAGUGGGGAAUAUUGGACAAUGGGCGCAAGCCUGAUCCAGCCAUACCGCGUGGGUGAAGAAGGCCUUCGGGUUGUAAAGCCCUUUUGUUGGGAAAGAAAAGCAGCAGGUUAAUACCCCGCUGUUCUGACGGUACCCAAAGAAUAAGCACCGGCUAACUUCGUG